GGGGACGUUACGGAUUCGACAGGGGUAGUCUGAGCUUGAGUUGCGCGUCGGAGGGUUCGGCUCCGUCAGAAACGACACCUUAUAAUAACAGGCAAAACUAACAACAACCUAGCAUUCGCAGCGUAAGCUGUUGAAUCUGCCUUGUAAUUUCAUCGCCCAUGUGGCGUUGCAGGGCUAACCUUUAGUGGGAUACGACGGCUGUUGCCUCUUGAGGCAGUCGGAAGAGACUUCCAAGAUAGCGUACAUGACGCCUUGAUUGAUGGCAUAAUGCCACGCGAAACCUAAUAGUCAAUCUACACGCGUAGAUGCUUAAGUGUUAGGGCCUCUGGACGCGGGUUCGACUCCCGCCGUCUCCAUAU
Molecule: transfer-messenger RNA, 359 nt
Filed under: Sporosarcina sp. E16_3
Lineage: Bacteria; Bacillati; Bacillota; Bacilli; Caryophanales; Caryophanaceae
Rfam family: transfer-messenger RNA
About the family: Bacterial tmRNA, also known as 10Sa RNA or SsrA, is named for its dual tRNA and mRNA-like properties. Its role is to liberate the mRNA from a stalled ribosome.
Source: RNAcentral